CGUAGGUGGCAAGCGUUGUCCGGAUUUAUUGGGUUUAAAGGGUGCGUAGGCGGCCUAUUAAGUCAGUGCUGAAAUAUCCCGGCUUAACCGGGAGGGUGGCAUUGAUACUGAUGGGCUUGAGUAGAGUCGAGGUAGGCGGAAUUGACGGUGUAGCGGUGAAAUGCUUAGAUAUCGUCAAGAACACCGAUAGUGUAGACAGCUUACUAGGCUCAAACUGACGCUGAGGCACGAAAGUGUGGGGAUCAAACAGGAUUAGAUACCCUGGUAGUCCACACUGUAAACGUUGAUUACUCGCUGUUGGCGAUAUACAGCCAGCGGCUUAGCGAAAGCGAUAAGUAAUCCACCUGGGGAGUACGCCGGCAACGGUG
RNAcentral lists this ribosomal RNA (368 nucleotides) under uncultured organism. Its description in RNAcentral is "bacterial SSU rRNA". It matches the Rfam family "Bacterial small subunit ribosomal RNA", at positions 526 to 896 of the family's 1533-position model. The record is from RNAcentral.